Molecule: ribosomal RNA, 874 nt
Filed under: uncultured bacterium
Lineage: Bacteria
Description: bacterial SSU rRNA
Rfam family: Bacterial small subunit ribosomal RNA
Source: RNAcentral
GCAGGCUUAACACAUGCAAGUCGAGGGGUAACAUUGUAGCUUGCUACAGAUGACGACCGGCGCACGGGUGCGUAACGCGUAUAGAACCUACCUUUUACAGAGGGAUAGCCUUUAGAAAUGAAGAUUAAUACCUUAUAGUAUUGAGACUUGGCAUCGAGUUUUAAUUAAAGAUUUAUCGGUAAAGGAUGGCUAUGCGUCCUAUUAGUUAGUUGGUAAGGUAACGGCUUACCAAGACUUCGAUAGGUAGGGGCCCUGAGAGGGGGAUCCCCCACACUGGUACUGAGACACGGACCAGACUCCUACGGGAGGCAGCAGUGAGGAAUAUUGGGCAAUGGAGGCAACUCUGACCCAGCCAUGCCGCGUGCAGGAAGACUGCCCUAUGGGUUGUAAACUGCUUUUAUACAGGAAGAAACACUGCUACGUGUAGCAGCUUGACGGUACUGUAAGAAUAAGGACCGGCUAACUCCGUGCCAGCAGCCGCGGUAAUACGGAGGGUCCGAGCGUUAUCCGGAAUCAUUGGGUUUAAAGGGUCCGCAGGCGGUCAAUUAAGUCAGAGGUGAAAUACCAUAGCUCAACUAUGGAACUGCCUUUGAUACUGGUUGACUUGGGUCAUAUGGAAGUAGAUAGAAUGUGUAGUGUAGCGGUGAAAUGCAUAGAUAUUACACAGAAUACCGAUUGCGAAGGCAGUCUACUACGUAUGUACUGACGCUGAGGGACGAAAGCGUGGGGAGCGAACAGGAUUAGAUACCCUGGUAGUCCACGCCGUAAACGAUGGAUACUAGUUGUUGGGCAUUAGCUCAGUGACUAAGCGAAAGUGAUAAGUAUCCCACCUGGGGAGUACGGUCGCAAGACUGAAACUCAAAGGAAUUGACGG